Molecule: ribosomal RNA, 390 nt
Filed under: Pelobates cultripes (western spadefoot toad)
Lineage: Eukaryota; Metazoa; Chordata; Amphibia; Anura; Pelobatidae
Rfam family: Eukaryotic small subunit ribosomal RNA
Source: RNAcentral
UCCCGGAGGAGAUCACCCAGCUAGUCAUGCCAGAGCAUUUUUUCAAUGUGCUCCCCAACGAGAAGGCAACGAUACAUUCGUAUGUAAAUCCAUAUCAACUUUCGAUGCCAUUGACUGCGCCUACCAUCGGGUGACCACAGGUAACGGGGAAUCGGGGUUCAAUUCCGUACAGGGACCCUGACAAAUGGCUACCACAUGCAAGGAAGGCAGCAGGUGUGCAAAUGACCCACUCCCGAUGCGGAAAGGUAGUGACGACAAAUAACAAUACAGGACUCUUUAGAGGCCCUGUAAUUGUAAUGAGUCCACUUGAAAUCCUUUAACUCUGAUCAAUUGGAGGGAAGUCUGGUGCAGAGCCACUGACCCGUGCGUGCUGCAGCUGAAACUCCACUA